RNAcentral lists this ribosomal RNA (426 nucleotides) under uncultured bacterium. RNAcentral's name for it is "partial 16S ribosomal RNA". It matches the Rfam family "Bacterial small subunit ribosomal RNA", at positions 354 to 796 of the family's 1533-position model. The record is from RNAcentral.
GUUAGGAAUCUUCCACAAUGGGGGCAACCCUGAUGGAGCAACACCGCGUGCUGGAUGAAGGCCUUCGGGUCGUAAACAGCUUUUGUAUACGAAAAAUAUGACGGUAAUAUACGAAUAAGGGUCGGCUAACUACGUGCCAGCAGCCGCGGUCAUACGUAGGACCCAAGCGUUAUCCGGAGUGACUGGGCGUAAAGAGUUGCGUAGGCGGCUUAUUAAGCGAGUAGUGAAAUCUGGUGGCUCAACCAUCAACACAUUGCUCGAACUGAUAGGCUUGAGAAUGGUAGAGGUAGUUGGAAUUUCUUGUGUAGGAGUGAAAUCCGUAGAUAUAAGAAGGAACACCAAUGGCGUAGGCAGACUACUGGACCAUUUCUGACGCUGAGGCACGAAAGCGUGGGGAGCGAACCGGAUUAGAUACCCGUGUAGUCC